Molecule: long non-coding RNA, 209 nt
Organism: Haliotis rubra (blacklip abalone)
Lineage: Eukaryota; Metazoa; Mollusca; Gastropoda; Lepetellida; Haliotidae
Exons: 5
Source: RefSeq, a predicted model, not a curated record
AGACUCUUCAAUCAAGUUCAAAUAUUAGAAGCUUGAAGAAAACAGCACCUGAAAAGGCAUCAAGGAUUGCAGAAACUGAGGAAAUGGUUGAGUCCUACUUGCAAAAAAGGAGACACAAUAAUGAGAUACCCCCCUGCAGAUUCAAGGUUGGAAUGAUUGUGGAGGCAUUAGAGGAUGACGGCUUUUGGUAUAUAGCCAAAGUAUUGUCA